ACGACUCGUGUCUGAAGUGUCUAGGAGAGUCCCACCAGACAGAUAAGUGCAAGAUCUGUAAGGCUUUCAGACCGAGGACCAAAAAGGAGCAGGACUUUAGGCUUAGGCAGCUCCUCAUGGAGGCGGCACUUAGCCCAGAUCCUCCCUCGGCGCGCCAAGUUCCGGCACCGAGCGCCUCGGUGCGCAGCGCCCCUGCGUCACCGACCGGUACUACACCGCGAGCAGAUGCGGAUAAGGCCUCACGGCACCGGCCUUCUUCGGCACCGCAGCCACCACAAGGGCCCCGGCGCCGUUCCCUGUCUCCGGGGCAUAAGAAAUCCCGCAAGACGCAGGGGAUUGCUGUCCUGCAGACGCCGGCUCCCCCGGUACCAGUGGUAGAGCCACGUCCGACUUUAGGGCGCCAGAAGUCGCAGAUAUCGGCUACACCAUUGACUCCGGCACCGGGGCCGUUGAGUCUGGUGCGGACUGGCUCACCACCUCGAUCAGUGGUGGAGCCCUGUCUCCCGUCGACUCCGGAGACCUUUGCGACGGUAAAAGACCUUAUCGCGCUCACGGAGCCGGCGCAAUCUCAACCCACGGCACCGCCCGCUCCUCGCACAGUGCAAUCCGGGGCAAGCCUGCCCUGGUACGCCCGCCGUCUCCGAGCGUGGACUCGCGGCACCGCUCCAGGUCUCGGAGCAGGUCCCGACACCGCUCGCAGUCCCGGCGCCGACUUUCACCUCGGCACCGGUCAUACUCGCGGCCUAGGUCCUCUUCACGGCACCGAUCUACAUCUCGGCACCAUCAGGAUCAUCGGUACCGAUCAGAGUCACGACGUAGUUCUUGGCACUGGUACGAGCGCCGCUCCAGUUCGAGGGGCCGCUCCCGGUACCACGUCUACAGGCGGUCGUCCUCGUCUCGGUCCAGAUCUGGGUCUCGGCACCGACAGGUCCAGCAGUACCGAUCCCGAUCAUGGUACCGCUCACUGGCACCGCGCAGGGACCGAUCGCCUACGGACCGGAACCGAUCGGCACCGUGUCACACCGAGCCCAUUCAGCCGCGUUCGGCACCGCCUUGGCCUUCAAGAUCAGCGUCUCGCUCCUCCGAUGGGGCUUCGCGAUCAGCAUACCCUCCUCAGGGUCAGGCUGCCGCUGACUUGGGUUACUGGCAGGAGGCGACAGAGGACCCUGCGCAGGACCCUACGCAUUGGUCUUUCUGGACCCUGUGGGCGUAUCACCAGGUGCAAGGGGCUCCACCAUCAGCCUCUCGCUCGGCACGCUCUGAACCCAGAGUCCCGGAGGCCAUCAUCUCCCGCCCCCCCUGCAGGGGGCAUGGAGGCUCCCGUGUCUACACCACCUCAGGCCAUGGACCCCGGGGCAGGGGAUUCUCCGCUUCAGGGACCCUUAGAACAGGACCCCCCCUUUAGACCCCUUGCCCCCGGAGGCAUCCUCCUCAUCUUCCCCGGAUGAGGCGGUGGCGGGCACAACAGCCUCGGGCCCGCCCCCAAUAGAUCUUCGUGCCCACCAGGACCUAUUACGUAGG
RNAcentral lists this long non-coding RNA (1521 nucleotides) under Chrysemys picta bellii (western painted turtle). Its description in RNAcentral is "lncRNA (ENSCPBG00000000747.1)". Lineage: Eukaryota; Metazoa; Chordata; Testudines; Emydidae. The record is from RNAcentral.